AAUAAGAUCAUUUUUCGGUUUUUUAUACGAUGUUUGGACUUUUCGUCUUAUUUAAAUUUUUUUGCGAUUAAUAUUUUUGUUCUUGUUAGAUGAUAAAACAUGAAUAGUACUUUAUGCGUGACUAUUUUUUUUAAAUUUUUUACAUAAUUUUUAAAUAAAACAAAUGGUCAAACGUUAAACACGGAAAA
Molecule: microRNA precursor, 188 nt
Filed under: Oryza brachyantha (malo sina)
Lineage: Eukaryota; Viridiplantae; Streptophyta; Magnoliopsida; Poales; Poaceae
Description: MIR812 microRNA precursor family
Rfam family: MIR812 microRNA precursor family
Source: Rfam by way of RNAcentral